GAUGAACGCUGGCGGCGUGCCUAAUACAUGCAAGUCGAGCGAACAGACGAGGAGCUUGCUCCUCUGACGUUAGCGGCGGACGUGUGAGUAACACGUGGAUAACCUACCUAUAAGACUGGUAUAACUUCGGGAAACCGUAUCUAAUACCGGAUAAUAUAUUUAACCUCAUGGUGCAAGAAUGAAAUACGGUUUUGCUGUCACUUAUAGAUGUAUCCGCGCCGCGUUAGCUAGUUGGUAAGGUAACGGCUUACCAAGGCAACGAUGCGUAGCCGACCUGAGAGGGUGAUCGGCCACACUGGAACUGAGACACGGUCCAGACUCCUACGGGAGGCAGCAGUAGGGAAUCUUCCGCAAUGGGCGAAAGCCUGACGGAGCAACGCCGCGUGAGUGAUGACGGUCUUCGGAUCGUAAAACUCUGUUAUUAGGGAAGAACAAAUGUGUAAGUAACUAUGCACGUCUUGACGGUACCUAAUCAGAAAGCCACGGCUAACUACGUG
This 497-nucleotide ribosomal RNA is filed under the name uncultured bacterium. RNAcentral's name for it is "partial 16S ribosomal RNA". It matches the Rfam family "Bacterial small subunit ribosomal RNA", at positions 28 to 507 of the family's 1533-position model. The record is from RNAcentral.